GACGAACGCUGGCGGCGUGCUUAACACAUGCAAGUCGAACGGAAAGGCCCUGCUUGCUUGGUACUCUCGUGUCGAACGGGUGUGUAACACGUGUGUGAUCUGCCCUCCACUCUGUGGUAUGCCUUCGAAACUGUGUCUCUUACCCCAUAUAACCGACUGUCCCGUGUUGUUUGGUGUAGAGCUUUUGCGGUGUGGGAUGGGCCCGCGGCUUAUCAGCUUGUUGGUGGGGUAUUGGCCUACCAAGGCGACGACGGGUAGCCGGCCUGAGAGGGUGAUCGGCCACACUGGGACUGAGACACGGCCCAGACUCCUACGGGAGGCAGCAGUGGGGAAUAUUGCACAAUGGGCGGAAGCCUGAUGCAGCGACGCCGCGUGAGGGAUGACGGCCUUCGGGUUGUAAACCGCUUUCGCCAGGGACGAAGCGUGAGUGACGGUACCGGGAGAAGAAGCACCGGCUAACUACGUG
This 466-nucleotide ribosomal RNA is filed under the name uncultured bacterium. RNAcentral describes it as "partial 16S ribosomal RNA". It matches the Rfam family "Bacterial small subunit ribosomal RNA", at positions 28 to 507 of the family's 1533-position model. The record is from RNAcentral.